RNAcentral lists this ribosomal RNA (1241 nucleotides) under Burkholderia vietnamiensis. RNAcentral describes it as "bacterial SSU rRNA". It matches the Rfam family "Bacterial small subunit ribosomal RNA", at positions 35 to 1289 of the family's 1533-position model. The record is from RNAcentral. Lineage: Bacteria; Pseudomonadati; Pseudomonadota; Betaproteobacteria; Burkholderiales; Burkholderiaceae.
GUUCGUAAUUUGCAGCCGUUAUCGUGCUAGUCGACGGCAGCACGGGUGCUUGCACCUGGUGGCGAGUGGCGAACGGGUGAGUAAUACAUCGGAACAUGUCCUGUAGUGGGGGAUAGCCCGGCGAAAGCCGGAUUAAUACCGCAUACGAUCUAUGGAUGAAAGCGGGGGACCUUCGGGCCUCGCGCUAUAGGGUUGGCCGAUGGCUGAUUAGCUAGUUGGUGGGGUAAAGGCCUACCAAGGCGACGAUCAGUAGCUGGUCUGAGAGGACGACCAGCCACACUGGGACUGAGACACGGCCCAGACUCCUACGGGAGGCAGCAGUGGGGAAUUUUGGACAAUGGGCGAAAGCCUGAUCCAGCAAUGCCGCGUGUGUGAAGAAGGCCUUCGGGUUGUAAAGCACUUUUGUCCGGAAAGAAAUCCUUGGCUCUAAUACAGUCGGGGGAUGACGGUACCGGAAGAAUAAGCACCGGCUAACUACGUGCCAGCAGCCGCGGUAAUACGUAGGGUGCAAGCGUUAAUCGGAAUUACUGGGCGUAAAGCGUGCGCAGGCGGUUUGCUAAGACCGAUGUGAAAUCCCCGGGCUCAACCUGGGAACUGCAUUGGUGACUGGCAGGCUAGAGUAUGGCAGAGGGGGGUAGAAUUCCACGUGUAGCAGUGAAAUGCGUAGAGAUGUGGAGGAAUACCGAUGGCGAAGGCAGCCCCCUGGGCCAAUACUGACGCUCAUGCACGAAAGCGUGGGGAGCAAACAGGAUUAGAUACCCUGGUAGUCCACGCCCUAAACGAUGUCAACUAGUUGUUGGGGAUUCAUUUCCUUAGUAACGUAGCUACGCGUGAAGUUGACCGCCUGGGGAGUACGGUCGCAAGAUUAAAACUCAAAGGAAUUGACGGGACCCGCACAAGCGGUGGAUGAUGUGGAUUAAUUCGAUGCAACGCGAAAACCUUACCUACCCUUGACAUGGUCGGAUCCUGAGAGAUUCGGAGUGCUCGAAAGAGACCGGCGCACAGUGCUGCAUGGCUGUCGUCAGCUCGUGUCGUGAGAUGUUGGGUAGUCCCGCAUCGAGCGCAACCCUGUCCUAGUGCUACGCAGAGCACUCUAGAGACUGCCGUGACAACCGAGAAAGGUGGGGGAUGACGUCAGUCCUUCAUGGCCUUAUGGUUAGGCCUCCCACACGCCUUACAAUGGUCGGAACAAGGUGUCCUACCGCGAAGGGGGAGCCUAUAUCUCGCACAAACCCGAUCGC